RNAcentral lists this ribosomal RNA (433 nucleotides) under uncultured bacterium. RNAcentral describes it as "partial 16S ribosomal RNA". It matches the Rfam family "Bacterial small subunit ribosomal RNA", at positions 29 to 507 of the family's 1533-position model. The record is from RNAcentral.
AACGAACGCUGGCGGCAUGCCUAACACAUGCAAGUCGAACGAAGUCUCCGGACUUAGUGGCGCACGGGUGCGUAACGCGUGGGAAUCUGCCCUUGGGUACGGAAUAACUCAGAGAAAUUUGUGCUAAUACCGUAUAAUGUCUUCGGACCAAAGAUUUAUCGCCCAAGGAUGAGCCCGCGUAAGAUUAGCUAGUUGGUGGGGUAAAAGCCUACCAAGGCGACGAUCUUUAGCUGGUCUGAGGGGAUGAUCAGCCACGCUGGGACUGAGACACGGCCCAGACUCCUACGGGAGGGAGCAGUGGAGAAUAUUGGGCGCUGGACGCAGGCGUGGUCCAGCAAUGCCGCGUGAGUGAGGAAGGCCCUAGGGUUGUAAAGCUCUUUUAGCAGAGAUGAUAAUGACAGUACCUGGAGAAUAAGCGCCGGCUAACUCCGUG